This 224-nucleotide unclassified non-coding RNA is filed under the name Hevea brasiliensis (rubber tree). Lineage: Eukaryota; Viridiplantae; Streptophyta; Magnoliopsida; Malpighiales; Euphorbiaceae. The record is from RNAcentral.
GGCCAAGCAAUUUCAGCAUCGUCCGUGUACCCAUGAACCAAAAAGUCUGUACAGUUUUUCCGGAUUCCGUGGUUGUAUGGGUUGCGGAAGCGCCCUUCUGGUCCUCGAAGAUAUGAGUAGCGAGCAGCAUUUGCUAGCUCAUUAGUCGUGAUAUUCCUUGCAAUCUGUGACAUCUGUGCCACCGUCAAAGCAAAGGCUCCAGAAAACAAGAGAACAUCGAAAAC